AAAAAAAUAAAAAAAAAAACAAUAAAAAAAUGCCAACGGCACGUAGUGUUCCCAAGCGGUCACCCAUCCAAGUACUAACUACGCCCGACGUUGCUUAACUUCAGUGAUCGGACGAGAACUGGUGUAUUCAACGUGGUAUGGUCGUUGGCGUUUAGGUGAUUCGCUACCAAGUUAUUUAAACAUCCACUCACCUAUGACAAUAAUACUCGUACAUUUUUUAAAAAUUAUUUCAUUGAAACUAUAGCUCGCA
Non-coding RNA from Cinara cedri, 250 nucleotides. NCBI's taxonomy places the organism in Eukaryota, Metazoa, Arthropoda, Insecta, Hemiptera, Aphididae. The record is from the annotation of a GenBank genome assembly.